Molecule: non-coding RNA, 92 nt
Organism: Streptomyces sp. ERV7
Lineage: Bacteria; Bacillati; Actinomycetota; Actinomycetes; Kitasatosporales; Streptomycetaceae
Source: Rfam
GGAGAGGUACCCGAAGAGGUCCAACGGGGGUUCCGGGUGUGCUCCGGACCGGGCACGAGCAGCCCGCGCAGGUUCGAAUCCUGUCCUCUCCG